Molecule: long non-coding RNA, 1263 nt
Filed under: Homo sapiens (human)
Lineage: Eukaryota; Metazoa; Chordata; Mammalia; Primates; Hominidae
Description: HSALNT0154124
Source: RNAcentral
UGAUUGCAGGCUCUCCGCGCAGGCGCUUUGAGGCACAGCUCCGCCCCGCCCCCUCACUGGUCGUACGGUGACAAUCAGGCUCCUGUCGGCGCCUAGCGUCUGGGCAGCGUCAGCCGCUACGUCCACCUUUUCCCUGUCUCUAGGGGUUUCUCCUCGCGCCGCUGUGUUCCAGCGCCGGCUCCGAGCUGGGAGGGUGACUGAGCCCUGAGCUUGGGCCCUCCGAGAGGUGCGUUAGCUCUGGGUCUUCUUGCCCCUACGCCCGAGCCUGGCGUUCUCUCGGCCCCCUCUUAGGAACGCUAGCCCUGGGCAGAAAUUGCCUUUGUGGCUGAAGUCGGCCAGCGUCGCGUUUCCACUCUCCCGCCGAAUCUGGACCCAAGCCAGCCUUCCCUUGUGCAUCGGUAGAUAGCUUGUGUUAAGGCGCCAGCUUCUUGGAACAGAGCUCUCUGCAAAAGUCGCGCUGAAGAAUUCAUAGUCAAAAGCUGAACUUGCAGAAGUUUCUACUUCUGGAAUGAGUGUUGAAAUGAGAUCAAUUCUGACAUUCAGUUUCGCUUUUGGGAUUAUGCCUUGGACUAACUCAGCUACUCUGAUGAGCUAAAGACUGUAGUAUAUUUGAAGGAAGACACGAGGAACUGUUUUGUAUUUUGUAGGGAUAGAACAGGACCUUGAGGAGAUUAUUAUAUGAAGACUAGUUAAAGAAACUAGCCUGGAGAUGGCUUAUGUACUCUCUCCUUUGUUUUUGUUUUGUUUUUUGAGACGGAGUCUCGCUGUCGCCCACGCUGAAGUGCAGUGGCGCGGAUCUCGGCUCAUUGUAACCUCCGCCUCCCGGGUUCAAGUGAUUCUCCUCCCUCAGCCUCCGGAGUAGCUGGGACUACAGGCAUGCAUCACCACGCCUGGCUAAUUUUUUUGUGUUUUUAGUAGAGACGGGGUUUCGCCAUGUUGGGCUGGCUGGUCUCGAGCUCCUGACCUCAAAUGAUUGGCCCGCCUCGGCCUUCCAAAGUGCUGGGAUUACAGGCGUGAGCCUCCGCGCCCGGCCUCUCUCCCCUUUGUUAUGGGCCCUAAAUGACUCUAUUUCCUCCUGCAUAUCACCUGCCCGACUCCUGUAGGCAUUUGAAUUGAUGAUUCAUGAUACGGUCUUUAGAGGCUCCAGAGGAAUUUGCAAAUUAUUAUCAUCCACUAAGUGAUUGCUGAUUACCUGAGAUACAGCAGCUCAAAAAGGACAAGGUCUCUGCCUAUGGGAGAGGUGACAAUAUAACCAGCAAAAAC